RNAcentral lists this ribosomal RNA (466 nucleotides) under uncultured bacterium. Its description in RNAcentral is "partial 16S ribosomal RNA". It matches the Rfam family "Bacterial small subunit ribosomal RNA", at positions 28 to 507 of the family's 1533-position model. The record is from RNAcentral.
GAUGAACGCUGGCGGCGUGCUUAACACAUGCAAGUCGAACGAUGAAGCCCAGCUUGCUGGGUGGAUUAGUGGCGAACGGGUGAGUAACACGUGAGUAACCUGCCCUUGACUCUGGGAUAAGCCUGGGAAACUGGGCCUAAUACUGGAUAUGACUUCUCAUCGCAUGGUGGGGGGUGGAAAGAUUUAUUGGUCUUGGAUGGACUCGCGGCCUAUCAGCUUGUUGGUGAGGUAAUGGCUCACCAAGGCGACGACGGGUAGCCGGCCUGAGAGGGUGACCGGCCACACUGGGACUGAGACACGGCCCAGACUCCUACGGGAGGCAGCAGUGGGGAAUAUUGCACAAUGGGCGCAAGCCUGAUGCAGCGACGCCGCGUGAGGGAUGACGGCCUUCGGGUUGUAAACCUCUUUCAGUAGGGAAGAAGCGAGAGUGACGGUACCUGCAGAAGAAGCGCCGGCUAACUACGUG